CGAGGGCCAAAUUUUUAAAGGACCACCCCUCUCAUCCUCCACCUUCUCCCCCCAAUUUCUUCUCCUCCUUCUCACAUCACCAACCCUCUCUCUUUCUCUGUAGCCCCUCUCUCCUCUCUCCUUCUUGCCUUUGAUCAUAAUCUAGGCCGGUAAAGGGUGGUCAUCAGGACUCAAGACUCAUCCCACCAUAAGAAAAAUUUUAGCUCUGGUUCUUGGAGGCCCCAUAGGCCAAAUUAAUGGACGGAAAGUUCAACAACAACCCACUAAUCACUGAGCAAGAAGAGAACGACAAUACAGAAAGUGGUCCUGACUCACCUCCUUCUAGCUUGCUUAACGACAUGAAGAUGACUUCCACUUCCUCACCAAAAAAAAGGCUUUCCUUGUAAAAUUUGUACCUUGGAUUUAUCAGCAAACGGGCGAUUCAAAAGAGAGUAAUCUCGGUGCCAAUCAAGGACGUAGAAGGGUCACGGCUCAAAGGUGAGACUGCCCCGCCACCAUCUGAUUCUUGGGCUUGGAGAAAGUACGGCCAGAAACCCAUCAAGGGCUCACCUUACCCUAGGUAUAUCAAUAUAACCCAUCACAGCUUCUCCUUCAAAUGCUUUCCAUUUUCGUCGUUAGCAAUGUAAUGAUUUUAUCAAGAACGUAUGUUAAUUAUAACCUACAAAAAUGUUCAAGGAUUGGAUUAUUGUAAUGGGUAAUAAAAACAUGGUUCUUUUCUGAAACAUGGGCAGACUAAAGAUAGACGCUGAUUAUGAUAUGACAGUUUUGUCUGUGAUUUUGGUCGUUUUUGCAGAGGAUACUACAGGUGUAGCAGUUCAAAGG
Molecule: unclassified non-coding RNA, 822 nt
Filed under: Hevea brasiliensis (rubber tree)
Lineage: Eukaryota; Viridiplantae; Streptophyta; Magnoliopsida; Malpighiales; Euphorbiaceae
Source: RNAcentral